UGCCCUUUGUACACACCGCCCGUCGCUACUACCGAUUGAAUGGCUCAGUGAGGCCUUCGGACUGGCCCAGGGAGGUCGGCAACGACCACCCAGGGCCGGAAAGUUGGUCAAACUCGGUCAUUUAGAGGAAGUAAAAGUCGUAACAAGGUCUCCGUAGGUGAACCUGCGGAGGGAUCAUUA
Molecule: ribosomal RNA, 180 nt
Filed under: Cercospora cf. malloti CPC 20737
Lineage: Eukaryota; Fungi; Ascomycota; Dothideomycetes; Mycosphaerellales; Mycosphaerellaceae
Description: partial 18S ribosomal RNA
Rfam family: Eukaryotic small subunit ribosomal RNA
Source: RNAcentral